RNAcentral lists this ribosomal RNA (1389 nucleotides) under Triticum aestivum (bread wheat). RNAcentral describes it as "partial small subunit ribosomal RNA". The record is from RNAcentral. Lineage: Eukaryota; Viridiplantae; Streptophyta; Magnoliopsida; Poales; Poaceae.
AUGACGUCUGCACCGGCCAUGGCCACCACGGCGCUCUCCGACCCGGAGGCGCUGUCCGGCGACGGAGGCACCAAGCAACCGCUCUCCCUGCUUGAACGGGCACGCGACAACCUGUCCUUCCGGUCGGCGUGGUCCGAGCUGAACGGCGCCAUGGGCGACCUGGGCACCUACAUCCCCAUCGUGCUCUCGUUGGCGCUCUCCCGCCACCUCGACCUCGGCACCACCCUCAUCUUCACCGGCAUCUACAACGCCGUCACGGGCCUCGUCUACGGCGUGCCCAUGCCGGUCCAGCCCAUGAAGGCCAUCGCCGCCACCGCCCUCUCCGACCCCUCAUUCGACAUCCCGGAGAUCAUGGCCGCCGGCAUCCUCACCGCGGCCUUCGUCCUCCUCCUCGGUGUCACCCGCCUCAUGAAGCUCGUCUACUGGCUCGUCCCACUCCCCGUCGUCCGCGGCAUCCAGCUCGCGCAGGGCCUCAACUUCGCCAUGGCCGCCGUCAAGUACAUACGGUACGAGCAGGACCUUGACAAGGGCAAGUCUGCCGUGGGGAAGCUCCGCCCAUGGGCCGGGCUCGACGGCCUCGUGCUCGCUAUCGCCGCCGUAUGCUUCAUCGUCCUCGUCAACGGCGCCGGCCAAGACCACGUCCAAGGAGCCCAAGAAGAUGAAGAUGGAGAAGGAAACAACAGCCGUUCUUCCGGAGGCUGGCGUAGCUGGAGGCGGCGCUGGGCGUCGGCGAUCCCGUCGGCGGUGAUCGUGUUCGUGCUGGGCGUGGUGUUCUCCAUCAUCCGGCAUCCGGCGGCGCUGAGGGAGCUGCGCGCGGGGCCGUCGAGGAUGCGGGUGGUGCACAUAUCGAGGGAGGCGUGGAAGCAGGGGUUCAUCAAGGGCGCGGUGCCGCAGAUCCCGCUGUCGGUGCUCAACUCGGUGGUGGCGGUGUGCAAGCUCACGCGCGACCUGUUCCCGGAGAAGGAGGCGUCGGCGACGUCGGUGUCGAUGACCAUGGGCGCCAUGAAUCUGGUGGGCUGCUGGUUCGGCGCCAUGCCGUGCUGCCACGGCGCGGGCGGGCUGGCGGGGCAGUACAAGUUCGGCGGCCGCAGCGGCGCGUGCGUGGCGGCGCUGGGCGGGCUCAAGCUGGCGCUGGGGCUACUCCUCGGCGGCUCGGUGCUGCGCGUGCUCGCCAGCUUCCCCGUGGGGCUGCUCGGCGUGCUGCUGCUCUUCGCCGGCGUGGAGCUGGCCAUCGCCGCCAGGGACAUGUCGUCCAAGGCGGAGGCCUUCGUCAUGCUGGUCUGCACCGCCGUGUCGCUCGUCGGCUCCAGCGCCGCGCUGGGCUUCCUGUGCGGCAUGGUGGCGCACGGCCUGCUGCUGCUCAGGGCUUGGACAGUUUCUUCCAUGUAA